Molecule: unclassified non-coding RNA, 1428 nt
Organism: Drosophila serrata
Lineage: Eukaryota; Metazoa; Arthropoda; Insecta; Diptera; Drosophilidae
Source: RefSeq, a predicted model, not a curated record
GUCAAAGUGCGCGGAUCGCUUGAAAGGCGAACAACUCAUAUAUUUAUUCUAAUAUUCCAUAUAUGUAUAUAUUCCUGUAAUAAUUAAAUAUUUGUUAAGUGCAAGUUAAUGUGUCAGUCGCUGCUGUCUUGUUGAGUCAAGUUCAUUUAGCGAGUGCAAGGUGCAAAAGUGAGCUAAUAUCCGAAGCAGCAAGUCUGUUUAGUUUCAGUUGGAAAGCCAAGCGAAAAAGAUGGGAAAGUUCGAAUACUCACUGGGUCUCAAUGAGCUCAAAUCCAAGGAGCUGCGAUUGUGGCAGGCCCUGAUUGGAGAAUUUCUGGGCAAUCUGAUCCUUAAUUUCUUUGCCUGCGGUGCAUGCACACAGGAUCAGGAUGGAACCUUUAAGGCCCUGGCCUUUGGCCUGGCCAUUUUCAUGGCCAUUACGAUUGUGGGUCAUCUGAGUGGCGGACAUGUGAAUCCUGCCGUCACGGCUGGCAUGUUGGUAGCAGGACGAAUCAGUUUCAUCAGAGCCAUUUUCUAUGUAAUCUUCCAAUGUCUGGGAGCUAUUGCCGGAACUGCAGCUGUCCGGAUCCUCAUCGAUCGCGACUAUUACAAUGGCCUGGGUCACACCAGUUUGGCUCCGAAUAUCACUGAGCUCCAGGGUCUGGGCAUUGAGUUCUUCUUGGGGCUCCUCCUGGUCCUGGUGGUGUUCGGUGCCUGUGAUGCCAAUAAACCGGAUUCCCGGUACACUGCCCCCCUGGCCAUUGGCAUGGCCGUGACCUUGGGUCAUUUGGGUACGAUUCGUUAUACUGGAGCCAGCAUGAAUCCUGCUCGCACUGUGGGCACUGCCUUUGCCACUGAUAAUUGGUCCUCCCAUUGGGUUUACUGGGCUGGACCCAUUCUGGGGGGCGUGACCGCCGCCCUGCUGUACACCCAAGUCCUGGAGGCGAAGCCGGCACCCAAGACGAACGAGGCGGCGGAGAAGUACCGAACGCAUGCCGACGAACGUGAGGUGAGAGUACGAUUGAUAAGCGCCUGGAGCGAGGAGUCCUUCUACUGAUCAGUGAUCAGUGAUCACUUGUAACACACACUCACACCUCUCAUACACGCACAGACACAUCUCUCAUCCGCAUUAUGCGCAAAUUGGAAGGAGCUCGCGAUUAUGCUUAGAAAUUAAGGAAAAUUAAGCGACUCGAAUCUGGAGAGUUAUAGAAAGGGAAAAGGGUUUCGAGAACCCAUUCAUUGCAGUGUCUAUCAUAUAUACUUAUGUCGUGUACUUCCCCCCGUUCGUGUGUAUUUAUGUGUAUUUAUUCAUGAAAAGUUCAUUUUUUAUUUAACUAAUAUUUAAAUGUCUAAGCUGCCCCUAAAACAAAUGCAAAUUCUAAAAAGCAAAAAAACAAUUACUUGUAUUCUCAUCCGUUCACAAUAAAGUGGAAAAAACAUUAAUUAAAA